UGCAUUCACUACUGUAAGUCACUCUGGAUAAGAGCGUCUGUUAAAUUACUAAAA
Molecule: non-coding RNA, 54 nt
Organism: Salmo salar (Atlantic salmon)
Lineage: Eukaryota; Metazoa; Chordata; Actinopteri; Salmoniformes; Salmonidae
Source: Rfam